Molecule: ribosomal RNA, 497 nt
Filed under: uncultured bacterium
Lineage: Bacteria
Description: partial 16S ribosomal RNA
Rfam family: Bacterial small subunit ribosomal RNA
Source: RNAcentral
GAUGAACGCUGGCGGCGUGCCUAAUACAUGCAAGUCGAGCGAACAGACGAGGAGCUUGCUCCUCUGACGUUAGCGGCGGACGGGUGAGUAACACGUGGAUAACCUACCUAUAAGACUGGGAUAACUUCGGGAAACCGGAGCUAAUACCGGAUAAUAUAUUGAACCGCAUGGUUCAUUAGUGAAAGACGGUUUUGCUGUCACUUAUAGAUGUAUCCGCGCCGCAUUAGCUAGUUGGUAAGGUAACGGCUUACCAAGGCAACGAUGCGUAGCCGACCUGAGAGGGUGAUCGGCCACACUGGAACUGAGACACGGUCCAGACUCCUACGGGAGGCAGCAGUAGGGAAUCUUCCGCAAUGGGCGAAAGCCUGACGGAGCAACGCCGCGUGAGUGAUGAAGGUCUUCGGAUCGUAAAACUCUGUUAUUAGGGAAGAACAAAUGUGUGAGUAACUAUGCACGUCUUGACGGUACCUAAUCAGAAAGCCACGGCUAACUACGUG